RNAcentral lists this ribosomal RNA (253 nucleotides) under uncultured bacterium. RNAcentral's name for it is "partial 16S ribosomal RNA". It matches the Rfam family "Bacterial small subunit ribosomal RNA", at positions 524 to 776 of the family's 1533-position model. The record is from RNAcentral.
UACGAAGGGGGCUAGCGUUGCUCGGAAUCACUGGGCGUAAAGCGCACGUAGGCGGAUUGCUAAGUCAGGGGUGAAAUCCCGGAGCUCAACUCCGGAACUGCCUUUGAUACUGGCGACCUUGAGUCCGGGAGAGGUGAGUGGAACUGCGAGUGUAGAGGUGAAAUUCGUAGAUAUUCGCAAGAACACCAGUGGCGAAGGCGGCUCACUGGCCCGGUACUGACGCUGAGGUGCGAAAGCGUGGGGAGCAAACAGG